UCUUGUAAGUCUCGCACGUUACGAGCAGCCAGCAACAACCACAACAAAGUCCUCUUCAUCACCUCACUACCGGAGUCGCUGGUUCCCGUGUGUCGAGUGUCUAUGGUUGCCGACUGAAGCCUGGGAACAAAACUACAGGGAGAGGUCAUGUGGUGAGGUGCUGUGCCCACUCUAUCCAAGGAACGGAAGACUUGACCCGGUUUGUAAGUAAUGUCCAUCAGAGGGACAAUAAAUCGCUCCACAGGACUUGCUGGAAAAUCAAGGAAAUCAAGAGAGAGUAGGUUCGUGCCUCCCGUCGGCCCCCGCACCUUGAAGCAGCAGCACGCCUCAGAGUUGUGUUUCUGGCAGUGACAGUGAGGCGGUGCAGUCCGCUGCCAUAUUCUCGAGACAAACGAGGCAAUAUCCGUCAUGGUGAUGGAGACCCGAGAGCUUGAGCCGCGAGUGACCCGCCGUCCUGAGUGCUCCGUCUUGGGUGAGGAUGAAAGGAAGAGCGCCUUGGCCCGUUUGAGGCUUUCAAGAUUCACCAGA
Molecule: long non-coding RNA, 528 nt
Organism: Eriocheir sinensis (Chinese mitten crab)
Lineage: Eukaryota; Metazoa; Arthropoda; Malacostraca; Decapoda; Varunidae
Exons: 3
Source: RefSeq, a predicted model, not a curated record